UUUGCGUCGAAGGUAUACCGGUAAGGAGUGCUGGAGCGAAUAGAAGUGAGCAUGCAGGCAUGAGUAGCGAUAAUUAAUGUGAGAAUCAUUAACGCCGUAAACCCAAGGUUUCCUACGCGAUGCUCGUCAUCGUAGGGUUAGUCGGGUCCUAAGUCGAGUCCGAAAGGGGUAGACGAUGGCAAAUUGGUUAAUAUUCCAAUACCAACAUUAGUGUGCGAUGGAAGGACGCUUAGGGCUAAGGGGGCUAGCGGAUGGAAGUGCUAGUCUAAGGUCGUAGGAGGUUAUACAGGCAAAUCCGUAUAACAAUACUCCGAGAACUGAAAGGCUUUUUGAAGUCUUCGGAUGGAUAGAAGAACCCCUGAUGCCGUCGAGCCAAGAAAAGUUUCUAAGUUUAGCUAAUGUUGCCCGUACCGUAAACCGACACAGGUGGGUGGGAUGAGUAUUCUAAGGCGCGUGGAAGAACUCUCUUUAAGGAACUCUGCAAAAUAGCACCGUAUCUUCGGUAUAAGGUGUGGUUAGCUUUGUAUUAGGAUUUACUCUGAAAGCAAGGAAACUUACAACAAAGAGUCCCUCCCGACUGUUUACCAAAAACACAGCACUCUGCUAACUCGUAAGAGGAUGUAUAGGGUGUGACGCCUGCCCGGUGCUCGAAGGUUAAUUGAUGGGGUUAGCAUUAGCGAAGCUCUUGAUCGAAGCCCGAGUAAACGGCGGCCGUAACUAUAACGGUCCUAAGGUAGCGAAAUUCCUUGUCGGUUAAAUACCGACCUGCAUGAAUGGCGUAACGAGAUGGGAGCUGUCUCAAAGAGGGAUCCAGUGAAAUUGUAGUGGAGGUGAAAAUUCCUCCUACCCGCGGCAAGACGGAAAGACCCCGUGGACCUUUACUACAGCUUGACACUGCUACUUGGAUAAGAAUGUGCAGGAUAGGUGGGAGGCUUUGAGUAUAUGACGCCAGUUGUAUAUGAGCCAUUGUUGAGAUACCACUCUUUCUUAUUUGGGUAGCUAACCAGCUUGAGUUAUCCUCAAGUGGGACAAUGUCUGGUGGGUAGUUUGACUGGGGCGGUCGCCUCCCAAAUAAUAACGGAGGCUUACAAAGGUUGGCUCAGAACGGUUGGAAAUCGUUCGUAGAGUAUAAAGGUAUAAGCCAGCUUAACUGCAAGACAUACAAGUCAAGCAGAGACGAAAGUCGGUCUUAGUGAUCCGGUGGUUCUGUGUGGAAGGGCCAUCGCUCAAAGGAUAAAAGGUACCCCGGGGAUAACAGGCUGAUCUCCCCCAAGAGCUCACAUCGACGGGGAGGUUUGGCACCUCGAUGUCGGCUCAUCGCAUCCUGGGGCUGGAGCAGGUCCCAAGGGUAUGGCUGUUCGCCAUUUAAAGCGGUACGCGAGCUGGGUUCAGAACGUCGUGAGACAGUUCGGUCCCUAUCUGCCGUGGGCGUAAGAAGAUUGAAGAGAUUUGACCCUAGUACGAGAGGACCGGGUUGAACAAACCACUGGUGUAGCUGUUGUUCUGCCAAGAGCAUCGCAGCGUAGCUAAGUUUGGAAAGGAUAAACGCUGAAAGCAUCUAAGCGUGAAGCCAACUCUAAGAUGAAUCUUCUCUAAGCUCUCUAGAAGACUACUAGUUUGAUAGGCUGGGUGUGUAAUGGAUGAAAGUCCUUUAGCUGACCAGUACUAAUAGAGCGUUUGGCUUAUCUUU
RNAcentral lists this ribosomal RNA (1690 nucleotides) under Campylobacter jejuni. RNAcentral's name for it is "partial 23S ribosomal RNA". It matches the Rfam family "Bacterial large subunit ribosomal RNA", at positions 1244 to 2925 of the family's 2925-position model. The record is from RNAcentral. Lineage: Bacteria; Pseudomonadati; Campylobacterota; Epsilonproteobacteria; Campylobacterales; Campylobacteraceae.